This 1903-nucleotide long non-coding RNA is filed under the name Sorghum bicolor (sorghum). RNAcentral describes it as "long non-coding RNA (SBIC_LNC007052)". The record is from RNAcentral. Lineage: Eukaryota; Viridiplantae; Streptophyta; Magnoliopsida; Poales; Poaceae.
GAUGUGCAUGCUGUCAUGUAUUCAAAGCUGAACGCCCCUAUCUAUAUAUAUCUCUUGUACUAGACAAUGAAAGGACAUUUUUUGCUUGGUUAAAAUUCAGAAUACACAAACUCGUGGAGUUUUGUUUAUGCGUGAGUCUUGAGAGGCUUGCAAAACUCGUUCUUUCGAUUCCUGAGGGAGUUGUAGAACGCCGAACUGCGGUUCAUCCAGUUUGUGCCUUCACGUCUAUACGGCGUGAUUGCGUGGGCUAUUCGUCGGUACGUGGAAGGGUGAUUGUCUCGGUAGUUCGUCGCGUGGACAGCCUCGCGGUGCACUGUCUCUUCACCAGGUCACGCAGCGACAAGUUAUCAAGUUCGCGAAUCCUACGAGAAGAUCGGGCCACAACGACUUGUCUCACGCUAUCCCUAGGCGUGAGCAUAUCAACAGUGCCUAUUUUGUAUCUAACCUUUUGGCCUGAGAUCAAGUGCAUUCAAAAUUCAUAGAAAGAAUUAUAGCAUAUGGUUCAUUUAUUGGAAAUGUAUGUCACUGAAGGACACACAAAAACAAGUAAACAGUGAACAUCUGAAUAUGCAGCAAGUCAUUGAAAGAAAAACAUUUUCAAAUGAAGCAUUGACUUGUUACUGGUUACAUGUUUGGCUAAACUAAUAUUGUGUUCCAGAUGCACUAUCACUCAAACAGCACCAAAGUGAGAGUAGCAACAGUCAUAACCUACACCAAUCUAGGUAGAAUAUCUAGCUUUGCAAUGAGGCCCCUAACCUACACCAAUAAAGAGAAAUCUAGAAAAAAUUCAGUUAGCAACAUAAUGAGCAGUCAGUCAUUUUUCUGAGCUUCUAGACAUCCAAUGUAAAUAUGAUGAAAAAAUGCUACAAUUUUUUUGUCCUCAAAUUACAAGUUCAGAUAGAUCUUUUAUCAAAUUGAUAAUAAAAUACAUGUAUUUUGUACCCUAGUACUGCAGAACUACCAAGCACAUAUAUGCAGCUGCACCUAUUUUCAGUUUAAUAUUCACAAAUCAAUCACUAGAUUAGAUCUGUUUUAAAAUUGUUGCCAACCACUGCAGAUACGUCAGCACUUAAGAUUUUGGCUCUAUUAUUAGAACAGUUGAAAGUGUUUCCCCCAUUCAGUCAUUAUAAGAAACAGGUAGCCAGCACACAUGGGCAUCACAAGAUAAGCACACGAGCGAUCGAGACUCACCGCAAAAAACACCCCGACGGCGUUGCUGACCGGAGAUCUGGUGGCCUUGAAGUCCCUACAAGGCAAGAUGUGGCACACAAAUAAGCAGGCGGGAAGGAAAUGAGGGCAAUAGCUGGGGAGAAAGGGACAGAGGGAUGAGGGAGGCCCAAACCUGUUUUAUUAUCAUCACAGUCCAAUCCCCUAUUGUAUUUUACUAGUAAAUUAAUAGACUGGUAUAAUAGGACCAUCGAUUGAGACCUAAACCUAUGUGAAUAUGUGAUUUAAACCUUCAGAAAUUACAGAUCUAUGCUAAUAGCCAUUGGAUCCAGUCACACAAUAGCAAGCUUACUUAAAGAGAAGAUGGAUCUGAAUUUUUACCUGUGCACAGUGACCUGAUUGCAACAAGAAGCAAGGUGGAUCCAAAUUUCCAAUGACUUGAGAUCUGAAUGCAAGGAGAAUGAAGGAGAGUCUGACGUCCUGGACUGUGCUCAGGCCUCGAUGUGGAGGGUAUCGGCAGGAGCACACAUGACUGCGGGGCGAUGGAUGAGGAGGAGGAUGGGAUGAGCAGAGGAGGGCAGAUGUGCGACAAUGGUAGGUGUUCGUGUGAGGGGCGAUGGAUGACGGCGAAGGAGGGGAUGAGCAAAUGAGGGAGGUGGAGUGGAGGGCAGACCAGCGCCGGCGGAAGGAGCUCGGGUGGGUGACGGUGGGAAGGGGUUUGGGCGAGUUGGGGAGG